Molecule: long non-coding RNA, 287 nt
Filed under: Homo sapiens (human)
Lineage: Eukaryota; Metazoa; Chordata; Mammalia; Primates; Hominidae
Description: non-protein coding lnc-BMS1-7:1
Source: RNAcentral
CCGCGCGCCCCGCCUCGCGCCCUCUGGAGCUGACCGCUGUUCCCAGUGUCUCGCCCACCCCCGCGGGGCCCGUCCGACUCGACGGGUGCUGUCUCUCCUGUUGUUGUUGUCCUUUACACGAUGGUGUUGCAAGAAAAUGGAUAUGGUGUUGAGGAAGACAUUCCAACAUUACUAAUGGCUGCUAGCAGUAUGGAUGACAUUCUGGCUAUCACUGGAUUCAAUACAUGCUUGAGCAUAGUCUUCUCCUCGGGUAAACAAGAAAAUAUAACAACCACCAGAUCAUUCAU